CAGGGCUCUGUAAAUUCGCCAUCAGUCGGAAUGUGUCUUCUUCCGAUCGUCGGAGUAGCGGUGAAUUUUCCUUCUGGAAAGAGGAGGCGGUUAAUUCAUGUUAGGGAAGAUGAGGCGACCUCAUUGUCCACGUUUGGAAGGUACAACUAGAAGAAACUUCCGGCAGAAGGGGAAUAUAUAUGCUGCAGUGAUAUUCCGGGAUUGAUGAAGGAACUGCCAAUCGCUGUCUACUUGUCAACCGUUAAAGG
This is a long non-coding RNA of Macrobrachium nipponense, 248 nucleotides long. RefSeq lists it as uncharacterized. NCBI's taxonomy places the organism in Eukaryota, Metazoa, Arthropoda, Malacostraca, Decapoda, Palaemonidae. The transcript is spliced from 3 exons. The record is from RefSeq and is a predicted model, not a curated record.